Molecule: ribosomal RNA, 439 nt
Filed under: uncultured bacterium
Lineage: Bacteria
Description: partial 16S ribosomal RNA
Rfam family: Bacterial small subunit ribosomal RNA
Source: RNAcentral
CUACGGGCCGCUGCAGUGGGGAAUAUUGGGCAAUGGGCGAAAGCCUGACCCAGCAACGCCGCGUGAAGGAAGAAGGUUUUCGGAUCGUAAACUUCUAUCCCAGGUGGAGAUAAUGACGGUAGCCUGGAAGGAAGCCCUGGCUAACUACGUGCCAGCAGCCGCGGUAAUACGUAGGGGGCAAGCGUUGUCCGGAAUGAUUGGGCGUAAAGGGCGCGUAGGCGGCCUUCUAAGUCCGAUGUGAAAGUCCUGCUUUUAAGGUGGGAAUUGCAUUGGAAACUGGAGGGCUUGAGUGCAGGAGAGGUAAGUGGAAUUCCCGGUGUAGCGGUGAAAUGCGUAGAGAUCGGGAGGAACACCAGUGGCGAAGGCGACUUACUGGACUGUAACUGACGCUGAGGCGCGAAAGUGUGGGGAGCAAACAGGAUUAGAUACCCUCGUAGUC